Molecule: long non-coding RNA, 1999 nt
Organism: Salvia miltiorrhiza (redroot sage)
Lineage: Eukaryota; Viridiplantae; Streptophyta; Magnoliopsida; Lamiales; Lamiaceae
Exons: 2
Source: RefSeq, a predicted model, not a curated record
UUAUUAUUUCUGCAAAUUUUCAUUUUCCUACAGUUCACUUCUAUAUCUGCACAAAAUACAAUUUUUAAUAAUUUUAAACUCUCACAAUUCAUUUUACUCUCAAAUUCUAAAAUCCCCAACAUCUUCAAUUCAAAAGCAAACAGAAGAUUCAAAAGCCUUUCCGUAAAAUUUGAUUUCCACAGCAGCAAAUUUUGAAGCAGCAAACUUUGAUUGAUCUCUUUCACACGUUUAUGUUCAAACAAGUAAUUCAAUCUAUUUAAACCUCAUUGUAUCAUUCUCAUUCCAUCAGUUUCAAAUCAUAAACCAUCAACAGAUUUCUCCAUUUGCUCUUUUCACAAAAUAAUUCAAUCUGCCAUUUCUCACUGCACAUCAUCAAUCGGUAAUUCUCAUAAACUUGUAUAGUUUUAUUUUCAUAUGCAAAGAUCUCUGCUUUCUUUCAAUUUACAGAAAACAACCAAACUCCCACAAAAUUCUUAUUUUUAUAAAUCCAAACAUGCAUACACACAUCAUUAGAUCUAGUGUUUGUAAUUCAUAAGAAAUCGAAAAGGAAUACAUAUUCAUUGAUUUUACAGAAAACAAAUUUAGAUUUAGAAACCUAUAUUGAUAAAGGGAGUUGGGAUGAAGUGGGAUGAGGAGCUACCCGCCGGAGCAGGGGGCGGCGUCAGAUGGUUGUCUGGCCGGAUCUGGAAAGGGAGAGAGGGCGGCGGCGGCAGUACAAGAAGGGAGGCGGCUGGACGCGCCUCCGUCGACACAGGGACGGCGGUGGUGGCGUUGCGGUCGGCCAAUUGGGAGGAAGAAGAGGAGUCGUCGGCCUCCGGCGACGGUGUGCCGGUGGCGGAGGCAGGGGGAGGCCGAGGGAGAGAGGGAGAAGGGGGAAAGGGAGCCUGCGUGAAUGGUGAAGUGGGGUGAGCUGCGUAUUUUGUAAUUGUGUGGUGAAAGUGAGAGUUAAAUUAGGGAUUUAAGAGAGAGAAUGAAUUUGGGCUUAAGGGUGGGCUAAAGCUUUAAUUGGGGCUUAAUUUAUUAAAUGGUUGGGCAUUAAUUUUACUAAAUAAGUUGGGCUUAAUUCUACUUUUAAUAUGGCUGCAUUUGCAUAUAUUUUUACAAAUGAUAUUAUUAAAUUUUAUAUUUCGAUUUACAUUAUUAAUUUGAACUUAGUUUUAAUUAAAUAUUGAGCCCAAAUAUUUUUAUAAGAAAAGCUCUUUUAUAAUCUAUUAGACCAAUGAUUUUUAAAUGGUUAUAUGAUAAUAAAUUCUUAAGAUUUAAAUUACUAUUACUAUUAUUAUUUUUAUAGAUUCAAAUAGGCCCUUAUAUUUUGAAUUUAUCUGACUAGGUGCGGCGCGACUAGGACGUGAACUUUAAAUUCUUGCAGUUAAUUUUCAAAACUCAAAAGUUCAAGUUUCAGGUGUGGGAUUUAUUUCAGUACAUGCACGUGGUUAAUAUUUGUCCAUUUUAAUAUUAUGUGUUUACCGUAUGUGUUGUAAAAAUAUUUAUCGCUAGGGGCCAGUAUAAUUAGUCCAGGACUUCACCGUCCUUGGUAUGCCACAAAGCGAUUUCAUGUUACAGGGUUGCAACCAUUAUAUUGUCGCCAGGGGCCCACAUAUAGGGUCCGGGACAUUAAAGUCCUUGGAGUUGCCACAGUUUUAAAGGCCGGAAGCGCGUGGAAGGUCGAAUGGCGAGUAAAAUGUUUUGAAUUUAGUUAUACUUAAAAAUGUUAUGUUUAGUAAAGUAUUUUAACAUAAGAUAUUUAUUUCCCUAUUUUCACAUUAAAUAUUUAUUUAUAGUCAUUAUUUUCCACGUGCGUUUUCAUUUAAAAUUAAAAUGAAUUUGGGUGUCACAAGUCGAAUGGGCGCGUCGAAUCUAUUUAAAGAUAAAUGUUUCCUAAAACAUAUUAUGUUAUUUCAUGUGAUAUCUCUUGAUUAUGUAAACUCUGAAAUUCUAUACUAUUUGAGAUUUGUGUGUGAUUUGUUUAAAUAAAUGUUAUUAUAUUAUUUUAAUGUCA